Molecule: non-coding RNA, 583 nt
Organism: Megalopta genalis
Lineage: Eukaryota; Metazoa; Arthropoda; Insecta; Hymenoptera; Halictidae
Source: RefSeq, a predicted model, not a curated record
GGCAUUUUAAAACUGCUUUGCAUGCUAAACAGCCGUGCGCGACAUUCAGCUCGGUCGAGCAUAAUUCAACGAAUACGAGUUUUGGAAGCUAGACAAAAAUUCGCGGGUCGCACGUGUAUGUGUGCGACAUCGCGACAAUUUUCCAAAGAGUUCUAUCGGAGUAAUUUGGACAACGUUGUUCUUUCUUUCGGUCAACAAAUUUUUAGGAAAGCUACAACGAAGAAGACCGAAGUCGCCGAUGGAAAGAAGAUGGCAGCGAAUAAUAGCCGGAGUGCAAAGGUGCAACGUAGACUCUAACGAAUUGUUAACAUUCGAAGUCCUACACGGUGGAGUAAAAAAUCGGAAUCGAGUUCUCUGGGACUCUUUUAUAGGGACUCUGACGUCAGCUUUCAGGGCACAGUGAAAUCGAAAUCGACCAACCGGGGGCUAGAAAAAAUGCUCCUCGUGCACAGGAUGAUUUACUCGCAGUUAUAAUUUAUUAUUAUAAUUUACUAUUAUAAUUUACUCGCAAUGGAAAGACUUUGACGCGUCGAUGAAACAAAUCAAACGAUAUUAAAAUGAAUUAAAAUGAUCUCGUACUGCA